AUUUAUAUACACCGAAUGCAUGUAGGUACGUACGUACUUAGACACUACUCUUGCUCAAAUGCAGAUAUAUAUUCAAUUCCGAGCUGGAGAUUUCGCAUCUUAGCUUCAACAAACUUCAUCCUAUUGAUUUGUUUUUUCUUUUAAUGUUCCUUCGUUUAUAUAUGAUCUUUUUUACGCCAUUAUGAUUUUAUGUUCUAUACAAUGUGAUAUUUAUGUUUUGCAAAGUGAAAAAAAGCAAUAGUUUUGUUUUAGCAAAUUUAAAAUUCAAGGAGUUUAAGGGUUUUUAUUCUUUUUCUCUUGCGUAAUUUGGAACUAAAGAUUUUAAUUUUAUUUUUUUUCACUCUUAUCCAAAUUUUUUAGUUUAAUCGUCCUUUAUUUAUUUUACUCUGAAUUUGAGUACGCAAUGUACAGAUAACUAUCUUUAAUUUUUUUUGUUUCUUUUCUGUCCUUACUACACCCGUACGUGUGUGAAUUAAUAAUUUUGCAUGUAGUUUACAUUGCAAGACCAAGUGAUCAGAGCUAGUCUUAUACCAAGGUAAGCCAAAUUUAGAGAAAUAAAUGGUUGAUUAAAAAAGAAUGAAACUCUGAUAUGUCAUUUGCAGUUUGCGCAAUGGCUAUUUUUUUGCCAAGAUUUUUUUUUAAAAAAUAUGUACAUUGGGAUUCAUUGAUUUGUUCGUUUUUAAAUUGUUUUAAAAAAAAAAUUCUGUUCAUAAAUAUAUGAUCCUUUUUUUUUUUGAAUCUAAAUAUAUGAUCCUUUUUACACCAAAAUGAUUUUAAGUUAUAAUUAUUUUAAUGGUUUGCAAAGUGAAGAACACAAGAGUUUUGUUUUAGAUUGAGUGUGAAUUUAAAUGCAAGGAUUUUAAGGGUUUGUUUUCGGAAUUUGGAACUCAUAUUUCAAUUGUUUUAAUUUUUCUCUCAUGGUAGAUGUUUUAGUUUAUGAAUCCUCUUGUAUUUAUACUAGUCUUUGCCGAAAAACUGAUUUGUGAGAAUGAAACUUAACAGCUAAUUAUGUUUUUUGUUAUUGGUUUUGCUUGGUUGUUUGUUUUUGUUUUCUUACUACACGAUGUGUGGGAAUUAAUAAAUUUUCAUGUAGUAACAAAUUUUGCAAGAUCAGAGCUAUUGUUAUAUAGAUAUAUAAGGUAUCAGCCAAAUUUUGAAAAAGUGCUUGAUUUUAUCAUAUUGUAUUGCUGAUAUUGUUCGAAGUAGUAAACUGCGUUUAAAAAAGGAAGGAUCUAAACCUACGUAUAAAUAUUCUUUGCCAUUUACAUUUCUUGUUUGUUUCGUCUGAUAAAUAUUUAUUUUAAAAGUGAAAUUUUGAAUUUGCUAACAUUGGUAUUUGGCAUUAGCAUUUUGCGCUAUGUCUAUAUUUUUCUGCCAAAAUUUUGUUUCUAUAAACAGUAGUUAUUAAUUAUGUCGAGUGUAAUUUUUUCUUCUCUUAAGGAUGUUGUAUAUAUGUCGAAGCCAUUUUUUUAACCGCAAACAGGCUGUUAAUAUCUUAGCGUUUGGUAAGUACGUAGGUUACUGAUUACUUUGAUGAAUACUAUCAGUCGAAAUGUAUUUGUAUAAUUAAAAAAAAAAUGUAUUUGUAUAAUUUCAUUUAUAAUAAUAUUCAAGAAAAUUUAGGAAAGUUCAAAAAAAUAUAUACGCAAUAUAUAGAUGAGUUUCAAAAAGAGUUACAAAAAGUAUUACACUAAAAUUCGUAAAAUAUAUUCAUGUUUAGCAAGUAAAUUGAAUUAAUAAUAAAUAGUGACAUCUCUAAUAUCUUCUUCGUCAACAAAACAAUCUCUUUAAUUGAAAUAAUUUCCGUUUUAUCUUUUGAUUUGGUGACAGCAGUUUAAAGACCUAUGCUACACGUUAUAUAUUUUUUUCCAACAAUAUCUUACGAACGAGUUAAAUUAUAUGAUUUUUCUAAGUAAAAAGAGAGAGCCGACCAAAAAAAAAAAAAUCAAACGGUAAAUGACAAAGUAACUACGGUUAAAAUAAAUAACCAACGCUCGAUAAUCCCGGAUAAUAGAAAAAAAAAAACAGAGACAGCUAGAAAAAAAACAGAGCUCCUUCGCGACGAGAAGUCGCCGCCGGAAUCGAGAGGCCAAGGCCGUAGUUUGAGAGUUUAAAGGAAAAUUACUCCCGACGUUGAUUAGUCUCCGGAGGAUACUUUGUGAUAUUUUGUUGAUUCAUGUAAGUAUCGAUCCCAUGCUUUGAGAAAUUCGAUAGACUUUGGAUUUAUUCUAAUUGGACUCCUAAAGCAUUCACGUUGUUUCUACUUUGUGAGAAUUCGAAUAUACUGUUGAAAAUUUUGCUUAUUUUGU
This is a long non-coding RNA of Arabidopsis thaliana (thale cress), 2309 nucleotides long. RefSeq annotates it as other RNA. NCBI's taxonomy places the organism in Eukaryota, Viridiplantae, Streptophyta, Magnoliopsida, Brassicales, Brassicaceae. The transcript has a single exon. The record is from RefSeq.